RNAcentral lists this ribosomal RNA (244 nucleotides) under uncultured bacterium. Its description in RNAcentral is "partial 16S ribosomal RNA". It matches the Rfam family "Bacterial small subunit ribosomal RNA", at positions 533 to 776 of the family's 1533-position model. The record is from RNAcentral.
GGCGAGCGUUAUUCGGAAUUAUUGGGCGUAAAGGGCGCGUAGGCGGCUUGACAAGUCAAAGGUGAAAUCCCUCGGCUCAACUGAGGAACUGCCUUUGAAACUGUCUGGCUUGAGGCCGGGAGGGGGUAGCGGAAUUCCCAGUGUAGCGGUGAAAUGCGUAGAUACUGGGAGGAACACCAGUGGCGAAGGCGGCUACCUGGACCGGUUCUGACGCUGAGGCGCGAAAGCGUGGGUAGCAAACAGG